GAUGAACGCUGGCGGCGUGCCUAAUACAUGCAAGUCGAGCGAACAGACGAGGAGCUUGCUCCUCUGACGUUAGCGGCGGACGGGUGAGUAACACGUGGAUAACCUACCUAUAAGACUGGGAUAACUUCGGGAAACCGGAGCUAAUACCGGAUAAUAUAUUGCACCGCAUGGUUCAAUAGUAAGAGACGGUUGUGCGGUCACUUGUAGAUGGAUCAGCGGCGCAUUGGCUGGUUGGUAAGGUAACGGCUUACCAAGGCGACGAUGCGUAGCCGACCUGAGAGCGUGAGCGGCUACACUGUAACUGAGACACGGUCCAGACUCCUACGGGAGGCAGCAGUAGGGAAGCGUCCGCAAUUGGCGAAAGCCUGACGGAGCAACGCCGCGUGAGUGAGGAAGGUCUUCGGAUCGUAAAACUCUGUUAUUAGUGAAGAACAAAUGUGUAAGUAACUUUGCACGUCUUGACGGUACCGAAUCAGAAAGCCACGGCUAACUACGUG
This 497-nucleotide ribosomal RNA is filed under the name uncultured bacterium. RNAcentral's name for it is "partial 16S ribosomal RNA". It matches the Rfam family "Bacterial small subunit ribosomal RNA", at positions 28 to 507 of the family's 1533-position model. The record is from RNAcentral.